RNAcentral lists this ribosomal RNA (253 nucleotides) under uncultured bacterium. Its description in RNAcentral is "partial 16S ribosomal RNA". It matches the Rfam family "Bacterial small subunit ribosomal RNA", at positions 524 to 776 of the family's 1533-position model. The record is from RNAcentral.
GACGAACCGAGCGAACGUUGUUCGGAAUCCCUGGGCUUAAAGGGCGCGUAGGCGGGUGCUCAAGUCCGGGGUGAAAUCCCACAGCUCAACUGUGGAAUUGCCUCGGAUACUGGGUGUCUCGAGGGUGGUAGGGGUAUGCGGAACUAUCGGUGGAGCGGUGAAAUGCGUUGAUAUCGAUAGGAACUCCGGUGGCGAAGGCGGCAUACUGGACCACUUCUGACGCUGAGGCGCGAAAGCCAGGGGAGCGAACGGG